This is a small nuclear RNA of Dipodomys ordii (Ord's kangaroo rat), 108 nucleotides long. The record is from Ensembl. Lineage: Eukaryota; Metazoa; Chordata; Mammalia; Rodentia; Heteromyidae.
GUGUUCACUUUGGCAGCACAUAUACUAAAAUUGGAACAAUAUAGAGAAGAAUAGCAUGGCCCCUGCACAAAGGAUAACACACAAGAUCAUGAAGCAUUCCAUAAUAAU